CGGCUUCCUGGGAGAGAGCGGCGCCUGGAAACUCAGAAAAGUGAUGAGAAAGGAGACCUCCGAAUCGGGCAGCCCAGAGCCGCCUGGACCCCACUCCAGGUCUUCUCCCUUGCUGUGCCCCUGGACAUCCC
Molecule: long non-coding RNA, 131 nt
Filed under: Ictidomys tridecemlineatus (thirteen-lined ground squirrel)
Lineage: Eukaryota; Metazoa; Chordata; Mammalia; Rodentia; Sciuridae
Description: lncRNA (ENSSTOG00000029445.1)
Source: RNAcentral